GAUGAACGCUGGCGGCGUGCCUAAUGCAUGCAAGUCGAGCGAACAGAUAAGGAGCUUGCUCCUUUGACGUUAGCGGCGGACGGGUGAGUAACACGUGGGUAACCUAUCUAUAAGACUGGAAUAACUCCGGGAAACCGGGGCUAAUGCCGGAUAACAUGUUGAACCGCAUGGUUCUACAGUGAAAGGCGGCUUUGCUGUCACUUAUAGAUGGACCCGCGCCGUAUUAGCUAGUUGGUGAGGUAACGGCUCACCAAGGCAACGAUACGUAGCCGACCUGAGAGGGUGAUCGGCCACACUGGAACUGAGACACGGUCCAGACUCCUACGGGAGGCAGCAGUAGGGAAUCUUCCGCAAUGGGCGAAAGCCUGACGGAGCAACGCCGCGUGAGUGAUGAAGGUCUUCGGAUCGUAAAACUCUGUUAUUAGGGAAGAACAAAUGCGUAAGUAACUGUGCGCGUCUUGACGGUACCUAAUCAGAAAGCCACGGCUAACUACGUG
RNAcentral lists this ribosomal RNA (497 nucleotides) under uncultured bacterium. RNAcentral describes it as "partial 16S ribosomal RNA". It matches the Rfam family "Bacterial small subunit ribosomal RNA", at positions 28 to 507 of the family's 1533-position model. The record is from RNAcentral.